AACGAACGCUGGCGGCAUGCCUAACACAUGCAAGUCGAACGAGACCUUCGGGUCUAGUGGCGCACGGGUGCGUAACGCGUGGGAACCUGCCCUUAGGUUCGGAAUAACUCCCCGAAAGGGGUGCUAAUACCGGAUAAUGUCUUCGGACCAAAGAUUUAUCGCCUUUGGAUGGGCCCGCGUUGGAUUAGCUAGUUGGUAGGGUAAAAGCCUACCAAGGCGACGAUCCAUAGCUGGUCUGAGAGGAUGAUCAGCCACACUGGGACUGAGACACGGCCCAGACUCCACGGGAGGCAGCAGUGGGGAAUAUUGGACAAUGGGCGAAAGCCUGAUCCAGCAAUGCCGCGUGAGUGAUGAAGGCCUUAGGGAUGUAAAGCUCUUUUACCCGGGAUGAUAAUGACAGUACCGGGAGAAUAAGCUCCGGCUAACUCCGUG
Molecule: ribosomal RNA, 432 nt
Filed under: uncultured bacterium
Lineage: Bacteria
Description: partial 16S ribosomal RNA
Rfam family: Bacterial small subunit ribosomal RNA
Source: RNAcentral